RNAcentral lists this ribosomal RNA (809 nucleotides) under Streptomyces lusitanus. RNAcentral's name for it is "bacterial SSU rRNA". It matches the Rfam family "Bacterial small subunit ribosomal RNA", at positions 103 to 925 of the family's 1533-position model. Lineage: Bacteria; Bacillati; Actinomycetota; Actinomycetes; Kitasatosporales; Streptomycetaceae. The record is from RNAcentral.
CGGGUGAGUAACACGUGGGCAAUCUGCCCUGCACUCUGGGACAAGCCCUGGAAACGGGGUCUAAUACCGGAUACUGACCGUCACGGGCAUCCGUGAGGGUCGAAAGCUCCGGCGGUGCAGGAUGAGCCCGCGGCCUAUCAGCUUGUUGGUGAGGUAACGGCUCACCAAGGCGACGACGGGUAGCCGGCCUGAGAGGGCGACCGGCCACACUGGGACUGAGACACGGUAAAGACUCCUACGGGAGGCAGCAGUGGGGAAUAUUGCACAAUGGGCGAAAGCCUGAUGCAGCGACGCCGCGUGAGGGAUGACGGCCUUCGGGUUGUAAACCUCUUUCAGCAGGGAAGAAGCGAAAGUGACGGUACCUGCAGAAGAAGCGCCGGCUAACUACGUGCCAGCAGCCGCGGUAAUACGUAGGGCGCGAGCGUUGUCCGGAAUUAUUGGGCGUAAAGAGCUCGUAGGCGGCUUGUCGCGUCGGUUGUGAAAGCCCGGGGCUUAACCCCGGGUCUGCAGUCGAUACGGGCAGGCUAGAGUUCGGUAGGGGAGAUCGGAAUUCCUGGUGUAGCGGUGAAAUGCGCAGAUAUCAGGAGGAACACCGGUGGCGAAGGCGGAUCUCUGGGCCGAUACUGACGCUGAGGAGCGAAAGCGUGGGGAGCGAACAGGAUUAGAUACCCUGGUAGUCCACGCCGUAAACGGUGGGCACUAGGUGUGGGCGACAUUCCACGUCGUCCGUGCCGCAGCUAACGCAUUAAGUGCCCCGCCUGGGGAGUACGGCCGCAAGCUAAAACUCAAAGGAAUUGACGGGGCCCGCA